Molecule: ribosomal RNA, 525 nt
Filed under: uncultured bacterium
Lineage: Bacteria
Description: partial 16S ribosomal RNA
Rfam family: Bacterial small subunit ribosomal RNA
Source: RNAcentral
GACGGACGCUGGCGGCGUGCCUAAUACAUGCAAGUCGAACGCUUCUUUUUCCACCGGAGCUUGCCCCACCGGAAAAAGAGGAGUGGCGAACGGGUGAGUAACACGUGGGUAACCUGCCCAUCAGAAGGGGAUAACACUUGGAAACAGGUGCUAAUACCGUAUAACAAUCGAAACCGCAUGGUUUUGAUUUGAAAGGCGCUUUCGGGUGUCGCUGAUGGAUGGACCCGCGGUGCAUUAGCUAGUUGGUGAGGUAAAGGCUCACCAAGGCCACGAUGCAUAGCCGACCUGAGAGGGUGAUCGGCCACAUUGGGACUGAGACACGGCCCAAACUCCUACGGGAGGCAGCAGUAGGGAAUCUUCGGCAAUGGACGAAAGUCUGACCGAGCAACGCCGCGUGAGUGAAGAAGGUUUUCGGAUCGUAAAACUCUGUUGUUAGAGAAGAACAAGGAUGAGAGUAAAACGUUCAUCCCUUGACGGUAUCUAACCAGAAAGCCACGGCUAACUACGUGCCAGCCGCCGCGGUAA